This 522-nucleotide long non-coding RNA is filed under the name Olea europaea subsp. europaea. Lineage: Eukaryota; Viridiplantae; Streptophyta; Magnoliopsida; Lamiales; Oleaceae. The record is from RNAcentral.
CAAAACUUACAUGUGGGAAGGUACUUAAUUUAAACUGAAUUAUGGUUGGACCGUAUUCUGAUUGUUCCAAAUCCAGAAAUUGUUAUGCAUAUGCUAUAACUAUUUCUUCAAAUACAUUUGAUUUUGAAGAAAACAUAAAAGAAAACUGAAGUUGAACUCAGUGAACCUUCUAUAGCUCAUCCGGGAAAGAGUUGCAGUGUUGUAAACUUAUCCCUUUUCAUAUAAUUGUUGCUUUUCUGUGCUCAAAAUUUUCUCUCUUCUUGUACUUUGAUUUUGCACACAUCCAUACGAUAGAGGUCAGUGUGAAUAUUAAAUUUUAGCGAUGCAUUUUCUAUAAAUUGUUCAUUGUUUUGAUGAGAGGUGUAGAGUGGAGUAUGUAGGCACAUCUGAAUUCAUGUUUUAUGGAUUGGAUAAUGUUGGCAGAUCUGAGUUCAUGUUUUGUAUAGAUGGAUCAUCCUCAAGAUUCUUUAAGAGUUAGAUGCUCUUUAUUUUAAAGAGCUAUCUCAUGAAAUUAGGUUUCGG